AGAGUUUGAUCCUGGCUCAGGACGAACGCUGGCGGCGUGCUUAACACAUGCAAGUGGAGCGACGAAACCGGGCUUGCCCGGUGGCAGAGCCGCGAACGGGUGAGUAACACGUGGGUAACCUGCCCCGAUGAUUGGGACAACUCCGGGAAACCGGAGCUAAUACCAAAUGUGCUUGCAACCUCUAAGGGAUGCAAGGAAAGGAAGCUUCGGCCUCCGCAUUGGGAUGGGCCCGCGGCCCAUUAGCUUGUUGGUGGGGUAAUGGCCUACCAAGGCUUCGAUGGGUAGCUGGUCUGAGAGGACGAUCAGCCACACUGGGACUGAGACACGGCCCAGACUCCUACGGGAGGCAGCAGUGGGGAAUCUUGCGCAAUGCGCGAAAGCGUGACGCAGCAACGCCGCGUGGAGGAAGACGGCCUUCGGGUUGUAAACUCCUUUCAGUUGGGACGAAGCUUCGCCGGUGAAUAGCCGGCUGGAGUGACGGUACCUUCACAAGAAGCACCGGCUAACUACGUGCCAGCAGCCGCGGUAAUACAGAGGGUGCGAGCGUUAAUCGGAAUAACUGGGCGUAAAGGGUGCGUAGGUGGUUAUAUAAGUUAGGUGUGAAAGUCCUGGGCUUAACCUGGGGAUUGCGCCUAAUACUGUAUAGCUAGAGUCCUGUAGAGGAAAGUGGAAUUUCCGGUGUAGCGGUGAAAUGCGUAGAUAUCGGAAGGAACAUCAGUGGCGAAGGCGACUUUCUGGACAGAGACUGACACUGAGGCACGAAAGCAUGGGGAGCAAACAGGAUUAGAUACCCUGGUAGUCCAUGCUGUAAACGAUGAAGACUGGCUGUUGGUUACCUAAGGGUAGCGAGUAGCGAAGCAAACGCGUUAAGUCUUCCGCCUGGGGAGUACGGCCGCAAGGUUAAAACUCAAAGGAAUUGACGG
This 923-nucleotide ribosomal RNA is filed under the name uncultured bacterium. Its description in RNAcentral is "bacterial SSU rRNA". It matches the Rfam family "Bacterial small subunit ribosomal RNA", at positions 8 to 916 of the family's 1533-position model. The record is from RNAcentral.